Long non-coding RNA from Pseudopipra pipra, 10461 nucleotides. RefSeq lists it as uncharacterized. The record is from RefSeq and is a predicted model, not a curated record. Lineage: Eukaryota; Metazoa; Chordata; Aves; Passeriformes; Pipridae. The transcript is spliced from 5 exons.
GAAAAAAGCGACAUUUCCCUUAGGCAUUUAUUCUACAAACUACUAGGCUACAUUCUGAGGAAAUAAAGGGAUAAUAAUUGCAAAAGCUUGCCAUCUGUCAGAUUUUAAAAGUUGUAUAUAAAAAACUAAAGAGAGAUCUACAUUAAAAGGUCAUGAAGUCUAACACUCCAAAGUCUAGAAAUGCAGAAAUUAAUGCUGGAGUACUCAACAUCAUUCACAUCUACCUCAUGAUGUAAUAUCCAGUUAAACAAUUAUAUAUUUUGGUUUUUUUUUUUCCUCUGCCUCACUUAAUGAGCUGACUGUGAUUGUUUUCCCUUCUCCUCAUUUUUCAGGUUUUGGAUUCAGGAACUACACAUAAACCAAAUUGUUCUGAAGUUUAAUCUCCUUAAAGGUUUUUCUGUUAUACUCUCCACAAUACCAUUUGGAUGUUUCACUCAUGCUAUGCUCAGGGCAACCAUGAGAGCUGUCAAGAGCACUGUUAAUUCCCUCUGGUAGCCAAAGAACUCAGGCGUGGAGUGCUCCCAACAUUUGGGUGCUCAGUCUGAAAUGAGCCUAAAUGUUGAAAGUACUCAGGCUUAUGCACGGUCAUAUCCACUCCAAGUGUAGCUGCUACUGCAACCAUUGUAGUGAAGUACAUAUGGUUCUCCUGGAAUGCAAAGUACAUGUCUCAGGUCAGGCUAUGGAAGCCAAGGGAUGAAAACACUGAGUAUCGGUGCAAACCGCUGGCUUAACACUGGAUAGAUCAACACGUCAGAUUCCAUAGACUGAUCCCAGUCCAUUUAUGAGGUUCUGUAGCCUCAUGUUCCCUGCACAACAUCUAAGAGCAAAAUUCACAGACUUGUUAAUUCAAAAACCCUCAAUGGAAUUAUUUCCCAUUGCAUGAAAUAAACACAUAUUUAUUGAACUAGAGAAACAGAAAAAGCUUCAAACUUAAUAAAUGGGCAUUCAUGGACAUGCAGUUAUGUGUAAGAGGUGCAAAACCAAGAGAUCUAAGUUCUGAUACUACUACCACUGAAUGUUUUAAGUAUUUUAGUCAGAGUGGGGAAAAUUCAGCAGAAAUCACUGAGCUUUUUCAGCCAAAGAAUACCCUUUAUUAAAGUCAUUACAGUACAGCGCCUGGUUUAAUACUUAAAGCUACAUUUCCCACACUUAGGUGCAUAUUCUAGAGGUUGGAAUUUGGGAAAAGUACUGGUGGCAGUGCCUUUGCCAGUAUAUUGUGCAAAGCUUAAUCUAAUAGGUAGGCUCUGAAAUAGCUACCUAAAAAAAACAGGCGAAAGAAUAGCAAUUUGUGAAUCUUCACAAGAUUUAGUUGUAAGGUGCGUAGGUAGUUAUUCAGCACUGUCAAGAUUUAUGAGACUUAGCUAGAAUAGGGAAAUCACUGUCACAGGCAUAGGUGUCUGGGGACUAAGGGUGAGGUCCACUAUCAAGGUGUGGAAAAGAGUCAAAAUUCAGUAUAGUGUUAAGGUUGACACUAGUCUGUCCCACCGCAUCUAGAUCUAUUGGACAGCAUUCUCUUAAUGGUUUAUUGUAACCAAUAAAUUUUUGUGUAUGCCAUCAUGGUGUUCCCAGUUUUCUUGAAAUGAAAUUCUCUUAACAAUCCCAACUGCAUAUGUGAGAGUAUGAUCCAGAUCAUAAAUUGACCAAACUUUUGACUUCUCAUGUAGAUAUGAUAAUUUUUGGCUUGAGAACUGGUACUGUCUAUCAAACACAGCAAAAGCACAGAAUAUCAAACAGAUGUCAGUGCAGAACACUGCGAGUGUUUAUAUACUCUAAUAUGCUGUAACACAUGAGCUUUAAUUUAAUCCUGAUGUGUAUCUGGUGUCUGAGCUCUUGGUAGGAAUCGAGACCUUCCUGGGUCUUUGAUCAGGUGCAAUCACAUCUAAAGGAGAUCAUUCUGCCACAUCAUCAUUAUUAUUAUUUCUAUAAAUAGAGAAAACUGGCAGGGGUAGCAUAUGUUGCAAAGUCAUGGAAACCUGGCCUAUAUUGGAAAGAAAAGUACAGCAAAACGCCCUGGAUCUGGGGUCCAGUGCCAGGCUCUAUAGAAGAGUGUGCUUUACUGGGAAUAGACUUUCGUGCUUUGUUCCCCACCUGCUCCAAGCUUGAUUCAGCAUGCUCAUGCUGCUCAACCUUCCUCUGUCCUCCUGGUUGCUCCUAAGACAAAGCUCCUCACUUCAUUAGUCACAGAAGUACUCUAAUUUCUCAUCCUACUCCUGGUCAUUUUGCAUAACCAACUCUCCUCUCCUUGUGUGCAUUGCUGCUCACUGUCACACUGCCUUCUCUCUCAUUCAGUAGUCUUAUUAACUAGUCUCAUUUUCCUUUUCUGGUAGCUUGAUUUAUUUUCCUUGUCUUCCACCCUAGACAUCCAGUUGUAUUCUAAACUCUGUAUCAAUUUCAGUUAUCUCCUUCAGCUUCACCCCCCACUAUCACUGCCUAAGAAGCUCUCCUGUUGGCACUGAAGUUUCUUUUCAGACCCUUUUCUUCUUUUUUCUAACUUCACCAGUCCCUAGAUCACUCUCCUAAAUCACUCUCCAAGCUGUUUGGCAGAUCAAGCACAUUGAUUGUUCUCAGGGAUUCCUGGUCUUGCCUGGAAACAUUUAAAUGUCUGACAAAAGCUCCAAGCCAAACUCCCAGUUUUGCUCCCCAGUCUGACUCACAGCCUAAGUUCCUUACUCUGUUUGCCACCCACCUUUUCAGUGUCUCUGUCUCAGCUCUGCCUUGUCCCCUGUGCAUAGGAUCUGGUUAGUUUAAUCUUGCAAACUGCUAGAUCAAGGGUCAGGAAGAGAACUGGAGAAGCACACAACCCACCCAAUGUGGGGGUGUAGACCAUGCACAAUCACUGCAGCCCAGAGCUACAAUGGCAGGAAGAAAUCCCCCCCCACACACACUACACAUUCAGAGAAAAUGACACUUUCAGGGCAUUUAUACUCUGGAAUUUCAAGACAUGUGAGCUGUCUACAUUGACUUAUCAGUGUGUGUGUGGGUUUUCAUGUAUAAAGAAGUUGCUCCUCACUAAAUGACAAAUUUGACUCCAAGCCAAGAACUGCUGGAGUUUCUAAGCAAAAAGGAUAGUUCUGAAAAUGUAUAUUCCUUCCAAACUUUCUCUAUUCUGAUCUCCUUUAAAAAAGAGAAGUUAGUGGUUUAUAAGAGCCUUGAACAUUCUUCUAAGCAUUCUACCAGCCAUCUACAAUAGAAAAAAAUAAGUUACGGGGAAAAAAAUUCCAACAAUCUGUUAAUGCUUCCCACAGAGAGCAAUUAUCCAAGGACUAGAACUUAAAGAUCAAACUAGAGAACAAGAUACAAGAAAAACCUUCCCUAACAUGCUCAAGGACUAACCUCUUAUGAGUUCAAUGGAACACCUGGCAGCAUGUGAGUAUGAUUAAUGCUCAAAAUAAUGAUAACCAAUUCAAAGGUCAAAUACUGGAAAAGUAAAAAUCAAGUAGUUAUUGCCUUUGAUUUGUUUUACCCCAUUCAUAUAAAUUUAACACACAAUGGCAAAUACAAAAGUUCUAGUUGAAUAGAAAGAACUGUGUGCAGAAGGCCACGUGUGCAAUUUCUUAAAUCCACAGACAUGUUUAUCCAGCAUUUUUUCUACUUCUGCAAGGUAUAUACCAGGUUAUUUUAAAACGGUAAUUUUGGUGGUUUCCCCUGUAACUGCCUUUUUUUUUUCACAAGUUUUAAUUAAAUAUAAAAAGAAAAAUACCAAUUGGGCUAAAUAACAUGCUGUGAGAGUAAAGCUACCCUGUAGUCAAAGAUAAAUAAUAAUGUAAGACCAAAAAUGCUAAUGACAUACUAUGAAUGUAGCGAUCAGCUGAUUAGCCAUUUAAUUUCUCAUUUGAAAUCAAAUUUGCAUACCUAACUUAUCAAUUCUGAUGUGGCAGUAACAUUAAAAUUAAAUAUGUGUUUUGGUAUUUCAGUAAAUGACAGCCAUUGGUUAAAUUGCAAUAAUACUAGCCUUUGGGACAAACAUGUAGAGCACAUUGCCUAAUUCAUUUCAUUUUUAAAUGAACAAAGUCUGACUCUGAAUGCCCUGCUUUUCUACAAAUAUGCCUGGAAGGGCUUAACUUUGGCAGCUGCAAAAAUAAGCCCCAUUUAUAAUGUCAAAACCCAACUUCUGAAGAAGAAGAGUACUGUUCAGAGAGAACAGUAGCUCCCCGGAGAGGAUACGUGUUUCAGAUGUGGCUUAUACAGAGUUGCUCACAAGACAUGUUAGGCCUCCAUGCAACAGUUUCUAGCAACUGAUAUCUUGUAACGUUACACUCUCAAGAAGGAAAUAUGAGGUUUCUAAGGCUUUUUAAAUGAAAAAAGAACAACCAAAAAACUUCCCUAACAAUUAAGGGCUUAUAUAAUAUUUUAUUAUUUAGGUCAGAAAAAUGACCACCAUAGAUCAUAAAUCCAUGUAAUUUGUGUUACUAUCCACUUUAUUGCUGAAGCUGUUGAAUGACUUCAGGGACAUCAAGAGUAAAGUUGUCUCUUUUGAGGCAUUUUUCAGUACUGCUAAUUAAUGCAUUGUUGAUUAGGAACAUGUGUCUGAGAUAAUGAUACUUUUAACAACUUUUUCAUUAUAAAUUCCUAUUUAUAAAUCUGGGAGUGGAAAAACAUUACAAUCCAUCAUGGAUAGAUUAUCACUGCUUUUUAAAUAUGGAUGAAAAAUAAUAAGGAAAAGUAAAAAAAUUUUUUUCUUUUUUGCUCAAGUGGCUAGUAUUGGACUUCCCCACAUACAGGUUACCCUUUCUUACGUUUUCUUUUUGUGACAAAGAUACUUGCCAUUUGUGAAAUGUUAUUUCAUAACAUUCAUAACAUUCAUUGUGAAUGUUAUUUCACAAAGGAUACAGAAAAGAAAAAGAAGAACCUGGCAGAUUGGAACACUAUCUGCUACUGCAGAUUUGGAAUGAUGAAAACACAGCUUAAGGAGAUGUAGAAACAAACCACAGUGCAAGCUGCAUGGCAAAACCUGCAUGCAGAAAUCACAUAACUAUAAAGAUUGUCAUAUAGGGCUGUGGGUUAGAGCGUGAUUAUCUUUGCUAACAGCACAUAUAUAUAUAUAUGUGCCCAGGUAUACGCAAGGAUGGAGAAAAUAUUCUUUGUCCUGAGAUAUUUAAGGCUUUUUGACACUUCUGUUGCUACUUAUCAUGGUUAUUUCUUCCAUCUGCACAGCAAUAUGCUGUGUGUCAAUUUGUGAAAGCUAUAGGAUAUCACCACCUACGUAAAUGAGAACAUAAAUGGGAACAUUUAUGGAUUGAAAAAAAGGGACUGAAAUGCUGCAUUAAUUUUGCCUUUAUUUCUUACUGAGUUUCACAUACCUGUUUUCCCAGAAUUUACAGUUUUUCAGCAUAGAGCACUUUCUGUGUUGCCAGAAGCUUGCAGUUUCAGAGACAAGGCUCACAGGAGAAGGAAGCAACACCGGAGAUAAUGCUGAUGGAUUAGUGGAAUGAGAAACUUGUUCCAAAGGCAGCUUUGCUGCUGAUCCUGUUUGUCUCACUUGAAUGAAAAGAAGAUGGGAAAACAUUAUCCUUCAUCACAGCUGCUACAGGUGGGGAAAUAAUACACUAGGGGUGGGGGUCGUAACAAACUGGUCCCUAAUCAAAUUUCACUAUAAUUCUCUUAUCGUUAUUGGUAUGCUCAGUUUCUGUUUCUUCAUUUUGCCUAAUCCAUCUUAUUUUUGUAUUUUCUCCUAGUUCAGCCCCAGCUCCUCUUUCUAAUUUGCAGCCUUUCUCUUUACUGUUUAAAUGGUAUAUCAAAUGCAAGACUACAGGAAGAGUGAGGAGCCAAAAUGUGAGAGAACUACUGCUCUCCCCAUGCCUGCAGCACUCUGCCACUCCUCGGGUUGGUGACAGUGCCUACAGUACUUGCCUGUGACUCAUGAUUUCUUUUGCAAAGGCACAAUAAGCAACACCCACUCAGAGCCAUCAGACCCUCACCACCAAGAAGACCAGAAGAACCGGACUGACGGGAUGCCGUUGGGUUCCACAACGGUGAUACAUUUUCUAUUUUAAUAUCUCUGUCUGUCACUUUCUUCUUCCUCUUGUUCCUUUUCCUAUUUCUUUCUAUCUCUUUCUCUGCCUCACAUUUACCAAUAAAUAAAACCCAUACUAUUGACUUUGGUGUCUAGUUUUAUUUGCACUUUUAUUCCGGCAGAGGUAUUUCUAAUAAUUUUAAUAAGUGGAUCCUAACAAGGCCUCAUGUCUCCAUGUCUGCCUCUACACUGCUGAUCACAUCUGUUCUCUUCCCCAGUCCACCUUCUUUGUUAGUCUCUUUGCCUGUGUCAUGUAGCAGAGAACAUAUGUCUAAAGUAUUGAUAUCUGUAGAUGAAGUCACAUGCAACUGGCUGUUACCAGCUUGGAGUUUUGGAUUAUGGCUCAUCUAAAGCCACUUUUCUAGUUUCCCUGGUUUGGGCUCACCCUGUGGGCUAUGGGUGCAGGGCUGUACAGGAUGGUAGCUGCACUCCUCAUCAUCAGCUGAGACAUGGGCAGAGGAACAGACACCUGUCCAUCUCUUGCUCUGUCUGUUCUUCCAUAUGCCCUUGACACUUCCUCAGAUCUCAGUUUACCCCACUUCCUGCCUCCCCAAUGUCAUGCUUUAUCUGAUGGACAGGUAAAGAGUUUUAUUCCCUGUACACUGUGGUUCCCUUUAUCUACCUUAAGGACCUUGAAGGCCCCAGAUCACCCUUAAAAUAUUUUUUGGCUGGGGAAGGUACAGGACUUGUCUCAUAUCCUCCAUGGGUUUAAGUCCUAACCCAAAUCCUCAAAGAUACUGGAAGAUGACAAGCAGAAGCAUGACUGGGAUAACAGCUUCAUGAGGGCUGAUAUCACAGUGUAACUACUGCCAGUUAUUUAUACAUAUUCAAUCCAUACUGUUUGAGAACUAGUUUGAACUUUAAAAUUCACAUCCUUCAAAACAUUUGGCUUAAAUAGAUAUUUCAUUUCCCCAAGUAAUAGGCAAGCUGAGGCUUGAUUGUUAUGUCCUGCUCUCUUCAGUAAAUCCUACAGCAUGAAUUAUGAAUCGUCACUCUCUUUUCUUCUGAACAAAGCUGUUGCAAUGUCAUUUAUAGAGAGGGGAUCUGAAUAGAACUAUGGCUAAUAGAUUAUAUGUUCUCAGCUCCCCACACAAUUUUGUCAUACUCCUCAGGGAUGAAAUUUCCACUUUUUGAUGCCUUUCAGAAGAGCUGGAUUUUCUUUUGCUGCAAAAAUUACAAGCCUAAUUUCACUGUUAGUCACUAUAACCAUGAACUUUCUAUAUACAACCAUAUUGUCCUGCACCAGCAUCCUCCUCUAACCCAUUUUCCAAAUUGUCAUUGUACCAGUCAGAAUGGUUGAAAUCUUAAUUUGGUGCUUUCUAAGGAAAACAUAUACAGGGACGUAAUGAACGUAUAGUCCUUUCCAAGAAUGUAUUUUUUAAACUUGUUUACAGCUGACCUGUGUAGAGCUCAAACCGUUCUGCUGGGCAAUGUUCUAGCUCUCCUCUACAAUUUCCAUUAACAGCUGGAUGCUCUGCCCUUUCCUACCUUGCAAAUGCAAAAGCUUAGGAAAAUCUGUCAGGUUCUUUGACAUGCAGCUAGGAUUUUUUAAUUCUUCAUCACAGUUUAAAAGUCUCUACUGAGGAAUGAAUUUUCUGAUCAUUCAAACUCAAGCAAGUCAAGGAGUCCAUUAUAUUAAUGGCAUCUUUCACUGCUUUAAAAUUCCAAAGGGACAAUAUAUGACACCGAUUAAGAAUAACGGAGCAAGAAUAAGCCUAAUAGCCAAGGCAGUGAAUGCCACACAUGAUGUCCAGAGCCCAAUUUCAAUCCUUGAGCGAUGUAACUUCCUAUGUCUGGAAGUACUGCCACAAUGGAAAAUUCAUUGUCUUAGAAGUGAAGACUUUUUCUUGUCCAUAACUGACAGUAUCUGCCCAACAAAAGAAAUUACAGAAUCUGGGGGUAUCUACUUAUGAUUAUUUUGUCACAGUUGUGCCUCUGCAGAGUUUUGCUUAAAUUCUCCAGGCACAAGAAAGAAAUGAUUUGGAGGAAUUCCUAAGGAGAAAAAUGUCAGGGGACAUUAUUAGGAGACCUCUGCUCUCUCUAAACAAAUGCACUUGACAGCAGUGAUUAUGUCUUUCAGUAAGGUAAGAUACAUCUGUCAGAGACCAAACUGCGCUCUUAAUGGCUAUAAUAAAUCAGUGAAUACCAUCUGAAAUGAUUCAUAGAAACUGUAAUAAUUUAAAUUUUAUCUAAAUUGUGUAAACAUUUAGUAGUAGCAAAAAAAUCUCGAACUUAAAUUUGAAAAUAUAUACAGAAAAGUCCCUAAACUAUCAGUGAUUUUCCACCGCACUAGAAACUGUGAGGAAUCUGUCUAUGCAAUCUUAAUUAAUUUUUUUUUUUGAUUUUAUGAACCCUAUUUAUUACUAUGACCUCUGGUUUGCUUUAAAACUUUCUUUUUAUGAUAGAAAAAGGUAGUAUCUUUGAAUCUGAAACAGGAACCUCAAAGGCUGUCAUCAAAGAGACAUGCUCUUCAAGAAGAACAAAAAGAGACGAAUCACCAACUACAUCAGAUGGCUGAGCUGAACAAGUGAAAGACUGGAAAGGCAUGUUCUCUCUAACGAUGCUGAAAGCAAUGGAACAAGUCAUCUGUCAGGGAUCCAGUGUAAGCCAUAUGUCUGCUAGGGCUUCUGGCCAUUUUAAAUCUCUGAAACAGAGUGCAGGGAACAACUGCAAACAAGUGGGUGACUGCAGAAAUGGGACACUUUCUCAGCUGUUAGAAAGGCAUAGUGGAAACGUAAGUUUGGAGGGGUGCUGGUUAAACCUUACCACAACAACCAACUUCAGAAAAGGAAGGAAAGAUUCUGAGAAAUGAUGGUCGAAGAUUAACUCUUAAUGAAGUACAUUGGAUAGGAGCUGAUUAAGCCUAUUUACUUUUGUAAAACUUAAAGUGGAUACAAGUACCUGCCAAUAUCACAUGAUAUGAAGACCUGGGGAUAGGAGUUCUGCCCAAGUCCCUGCUUUGUAGGGAGCAGGAUACAAGUUGGUAUGUGAUUUCAUGGCAAACUUUUUUAUGUUUGAAGGUUUCAGGUGGUUCUUUCCUCCAACAGAUUUAUCUCCCUCACUGACAUAGGUAAACACAAAGAAAAAUUAUUUUGGAAAGGUCUAUGGGACUUACAUAAACCCUGAGUACCCUCAGUGUACUGUUAAACAUUAAAAGAACAUUAUUAAAAUGUGUCACAAGAACACAGCAGAAGAGAUCAAGGGUCUCUGCAACAGGAAGAAGUUUGUGAAGCUAAAUUCCUGAACCAUCUGUGGUAAUGUCCCAUGAAAUUAAGCAAGAAAAAGAGAAAUAAAACAGGCUUUAAAGUUCCACCCUAUGGAAAUAUUCCUUUGUUCUCACAAGUGCGUCAGUCUCUUUAAACCUGAGCAAGCUACAUUAAUCAAGGCUCUGAGAAAUUUUAGAAGCAGUAGGAGUACUCCUGUAAUACUCCCAACAACCCGUCUGCAGCCCCCAGUGCAUAAAAAGAAAAGACAGCUUCUCCUUGGUUCCUCAUCCUCUAUUUCCCCCAAACCAAAUUAUGCAUCCAGAGAAAAAUUUUCCAUGCAGCCUUUUCUUUCUCAUUUUCCUUACUUCACCCUCCUUUUCAAUACCUCUUCAUAAUAAUUCUUUCUGGGAAUACUCUCAGUAUUUUGAUUUAAUUUCCAGAUUCAAAAAUCCUCUCUGAGUAAAAACUCUCUUUAGCAUAAGGUUGGCAGACUUUCUCCCUUGCUGAUAAUAGGCAUUUGUGUUAGCUGCCAACAGUUACUUUGAUAAUAGUCACAGUAUCUUACUGACAAUUAAUGUAGGUUUCCCUGUUAGACUAGUAAUUAGGCCUUCAAAAUGUCAGAAUCUGGUCCAGAUUAUUAUCCAGAAUAUUCUGGAUACUAGUUGUGAAUAAAUAAACAAUAAUAAAAAAGUUAAUGUGAAUUUACAAUAUCUGACUGAAAUGCAAUCUGGAUUGCAGUGUGAUCCUGCUCGCUGUUGGGGGGGGGGGCAGGCUGGUUCACUCUUAUGAAUUCUGGGGGAUGGCCCCUUCCAGCUCACUUGGCCAAAUCUGUGCUGUUGCUCACCAGCUGAAUUGAGUACUUUUCAGAUGAGUAAAGAAAACAAAAUCUGUCAGUGUGCAAGACAGAGAAAGAUCUCUCUGAAACACAAUGUGCCACUGCAGUGGUUCAUGUUUAUUAGUGGUCUUAACUAAUACUGCAACUAAAAUGUCUGGAAUGAACCUCAUACUCCAGCUGUAUAGUAGCUGAUGGCAGAAAGACAAAACUAGGAGCAGCAGGGCUUCCAGUUGUGUCAAGCUAUGAAAGAGGACCUGAAACAAAUUCCUGCUUACUCAAAUGAGGAAAAUUGGGUAAGGGGCAUCUUCUAUCACUCUUUGUCUUAAUAGUAUGCAUAUUUAUAAUAUAUACCAUGAAAUCAAAAUAAGUGUUCCUUAUAAGUUUACCUUCCCUAGGAGGAUUUGGAG